GAUACUUUUGAUGUCGUUGCUUUUACGAACAUAUACAUUUUGUUUAUGCACUUUGCAUAUACUUCAUAGAAAAACUUUGUGUGCGUGCACGCUUUAAGCACUGGAGACCCAAGGGAAGAUUUCAGCCCUUCUAAACAAAUGAGGAACGAGAGACCUGCCUUCCAUUUUCUUCCACACCUCCGGUUAAAUUUUAACCACAGAAGGACGGAACGUUCCAGCCUGCUGCUGAUUCAGACAGGCCAUAUCCUGUGCCCCUGCUGACCACUGAACGGCCUCACAGCUGGUCCAAAGGCAUUUUCCUAUGGUGGGUUAUGACAUUUCACAUGGAUUUCUCUUCCUGUGUUGCACACGUGCUCUGGAAGGAAGACUCAGCCAUGCAGACACAGCGCAGCAGCCUGCAGUCAAUGUGCUCACCCAUGCCCAGCAGCCAGGGAAAAUCCAAGGUGAGCCACUGCAGAUCAUCUGUUCUGCUGCAACCGCAGCAUUGAACAACGGUUACCAGCGGUUUACAAAAUCCCACAUUUAGUUAGAAUCUUUCACUUAGAAAGAUGCCAGGAGGU
RNAcentral lists this long non-coding RNA (560 nucleotides) under Gallus gallus (chicken). RNAcentral's name for it is "long non-coding RNA NONGGAT008287". The record is from RNAcentral. Lineage: Eukaryota; Metazoa; Chordata; Aves; Galliformes; Phasianidae.